GGGCCCGCACAAGCGGUGGAGCAUGUGGUUUAAUUCGACGCAACGCGAAGAACCUUACCUGGGUUUGACAUGUGCAGGACCGGUGAUGAAAGUCACUCUCCCUUCGGGGCCUGUGCACAGGUGCUGCAUGGCUGUCGUCAGCUCGUGUCGUGAGAUGUUGGGUUAAGUCCCGCAACGAGCGCAACCCUCGCCCUCUGUUGCUACCGGGUCAUGCCGGGCACUCUGAGGGGACUGCCCCGGUGAACGGGGAGGAAGGUGGGGAUGACGUCAAGUCCUCAUGGCCUUUAUGUCCAGGGCUACACACGUGCUACAAUGGUCAGGACAAUGGGUCGCUCCCUCGCAAGAGGUUGCCAAUCUCAAAAACCUGGCCCUAGUUCGGAUGGUCGGCUGCAACUCGCCGGCCUGAAGCUGGAAUCGCUAGUAAUCGGAGAUCAGCACGCUCCGGUGAAUACGUUCCCGGGCCUU
RNAcentral lists this ribosomal RNA (465 nucleotides) under uncultured bacterium. RNAcentral's name for it is "bacterial SSU rRNA". It matches the Rfam family "Bacterial small subunit ribosomal RNA", at positions 917 to 1382 of the family's 1533-position model. The record is from RNAcentral.